AUUGAACGCUGGCGGCAUGCCUUACACAUGCAAAUCGAACGGUAACGGGCCUUCGGGUGCCGACGAGUGGCGAACGGGUGAGUAAUACAUCGGAACGUGCCCGAUCGUGGGGGAUAACGAGGCGAAAGCUUUGCUAAUACCGCAUACGAUCUACGGAUGAAAGCAGGGGACCGCAAGGCCUUGCGCGGACGGAGCGGCCGAUGGCAGGUUAGGUAGUUGGUGGGAUAAAAGCUUACCAAGCCGACGAUCUGUAGCUGGUCUGAGAGGAUGAUCAGCCACACUGGGACUGAGACACGGCCCAGACUCCUACGGGAGGCAGCAGUGGGGAAUUUUGGACAAUGGGCGCAAGCCUGAUCCAGCCAUGCCGCGUGCAGGAUGAAGGCCUUCGGGUUGUAAACUGAUUUUGUACGGAACGAAAAGCCUUCUUUUAAUACAGGAGGGUCAUGACGGUACCGUAAGAAUAAGCACCGGCUAACUACGUG
Molecule: ribosomal RNA, 482 nt
Filed under: uncultured bacterium
Lineage: Bacteria
Description: partial 16S ribosomal RNA
Rfam family: Bacterial small subunit ribosomal RNA
Source: RNAcentral